UGAGCUCCACCUCUUCCGCUCAAAAAAAAAAAGAAAAAAAAAAGAAAAGAAAACCUCUUCGUUCUGCAGGCCGAUUCAUUCCUCCCCUCCCCUCCGGCCUCCCCCACCGCCGCCUCCGCCAACCACCGCCGGCCUCCGCCCUCGCCCUCGCCCCCACAGCUGGUGACCUCGUCUACCUCCCCUCUCCUCUCCCCUCCUCUCCUCUCCUUAUCAGAAGAGAAGAGAAGAGAAGAGAAAAGGGUGGUCGGGCGACCAUGCCAGAUGCGCCCACAACCGGCCGGCGACCACAGCACGUCAUCGUCAUCGUCAUCGUCGAAAACUCUUCUUCCACCUCCCUCCCAGAUUCAUGUGCUGCUCUCGGUAGGUGCACGCCAAACCCUAGCCGCAGCCCGCAGCGCUAGCUGUUGCUGUCAAAGUUUGCCCGGCACAAGCAGCUCCGCUACCAGGACACGGACGGACCGCUCAAAUCCAUGGAUUUCUUCGAUUCCGUUCAUGCUUGCCGGGGAAUGAAUUGAUUGGAUGCGAAAAUUGCAUUUUGCUGCAGGGGCAUGACGGAGUGAACCUCAUCGACUCGCCGCAUCUGGGAAGGUAUUAGGACGAGCAGCAGCAAAUCAGCCUGAUGAAGAAGCGCCUGACACCACACCGGGUGCAGGAGGCGAUGUUGAUUAAGCUGAUGGCACGAAGAAGGCUGUGACCACAACCUGGAUCUAUUGCUAUCGAUGGCAAACGGAGGCACCUCCCUCCCUCCCUUGUCUUUUACUAUUAUUUGUUGUUGUCAGCAAAUCAGUAAGCAGUGUGCUUGUGGAGUUGGGUUUGGACUGGAAUGUCCACCCAGCAGGUGCUGCUAGGACCCGAGGUUGAGUUAAGCUAGAUGUGUUGCUGUUCUUGCUGUUAUUGCAAGAUGAUGGCAUCCCAUAAUAAUCUGAUGUUGCUGUACUAAUUUCUUGAGUAGAUGUUAUAUCUGUUGUACCUUCAAUUGUUGUUGUUGUGGUUAAUACUAGAUAGAUUUAUCGUGUAGCUGCUGCACGUAGCCUCCAACUGUGGGUUGUUUAUUUCGCCCUGAGUUGUGCCGCGUCCUUCCGAAGGGGCAGUCCAAGGGCAUCAUCUUGAUGGUGACCUUGCGCGACUCUCCACCGAAGAGGGUGCCGAAGUUGACGGUGAUGACAUCGGUGGUGCUGUCCGUGGUCUGGGUGUAGCCAGUGUUGUCGGGCACCGCCAUUGCUUUCAGGCCGUCCUCUUUCUUGGGUGUGAGGAUGAGCUUCACCUUAUGCACGACCACGGUGAGAAGGCGCCGCUCAGUAUCUGAAAGAAUGGCUUGGUGACGUUUGCCCUGUCCUGCAUGCACACAUUCGUGAAAUAUAUCUCUUUCUUUUUACCUUUAGAGCUUGUUUGGAACUGCUCUACUUGCUAAAAUUCAGCUCUGUUUCAGAAAAGACAAGCCAAACGGGGUAGCUUCAUGAUAUGCCGCUUCGAAAAAACUAGAAUAUGGGCUACAACUUCAAAGUUUUUAUGAAGCUCUUCACAGGGUGCUUCAAAAAGUCUAGAAGCUGGAGUUGAAGGGAAAUUACGCAUCACUGCCAGCAGUAAGUGGAUACACCUUCAUUUCUUUUUCCUCAACCAAUCAAAUAGAUUGUUUUAAUCAAAUUUUCUGUUCUUGAAGCUAGAGCUAGAUGGAAGCCAAACAUUCUCUUGAUAGUGCUAUAGCUAUUGUAUGAAACUGCUUCAAAGUGAAUUUGAUAAAGUGAAGCUGAUUUUGAUGAA
Hordeum vulgare subsp. vulgare (domesticated barley) is the source of this 1761-nucleotide long non-coding RNA. RefSeq lists it as uncharacterized. NCBI's taxonomy places the organism in Eukaryota, Viridiplantae, Streptophyta, Magnoliopsida, Poales, Poaceae. The transcript has 3 exons. The record is from RefSeq and is a predicted model, not a curated record.